CACACCUGGCAAAACAACAUCCAAAACCCCAAGUACCAAAAAGAAUGGCAUAGGAAUCUCAUGCUUUCAGCAACUGCAGUCUUAUCCUUGCCUCCUCCUGUGCUUCCUUCUUUGGUGUCAAGGUUUUCUCCCGAAUGGAAGUGCGGCGAACUGACUGAGUGCGGUGUUGGAGUGCGCACGCCGAAUCUGACAACAGAAAUGAAGGUCAACAAUUUACAUAAAAACCAUUACAAGUCUCACACAAACAAUCAUAACUGUGCAGCUGCUAAACAUCUACAGUGAACCCAGGUUUAUCACAGUGUUAUGUUCCAGAGGCACCCACAAAGUACUGAAAUCCAUGUUAUAUUGACAUGGACCCAUAAACUGACCAAUAGGGACCCAGCGGUCUUAACAUGGAGCACAAUUUUAUAAAAAAAAAAUUUAAAUAAAAAAAAAAAAAAAAAAAAUGCUGGAGGUGUAUAAUGGUGUUGAUGGGGUUUUCUUGGAAGAACAUAGUGUUUGGAGAAUUACUUAUAGUUUUCAAUGAGAUUUCUGUGUGAUGCUCGGGAAUUUUCUCAACCUAUGCCACAAUUUAAACUGCAUUUUAUCUAAUACAGUAUAAUGACCAAUUUUCUGUGAAAAAAAAAAAUAUAUAUAAAAAAAUAUUUUAAACAUGCAAGUUAACCAAUGAUGGGUGAUCUGCAGAUAAAACUGGAGGUCAACUGUAGUGCAGAUAUGGUGUCAAAAUUUACAGAGUAAACUGUACAAACUCA
Long non-coding RNA from Portunus trituberculatus (swimming crab), 752 nucleotides. RefSeq lists it as uncharacterized. NCBI's taxonomy places the organism in Eukaryota, Metazoa, Arthropoda, Malacostraca, Decapoda, Portunidae. The transcript has 2 exons. The record is from RefSeq and is a predicted model, not a curated record.